GGGAUUUCGCAAUGGGCGAAAGCCUGACGGAGCAAUCUCGCGUGAGGGAUGACUGCCUAUGGGUUGUAAACCUCUUUUUUCAGGGAGGAAUAAAUGACGUGUACCUGAAGAAUAAGCAUCGGCUAACUCCGUGCCAGCAGCCGCGGUAAUA
This 151-nucleotide ribosomal RNA is filed under the name uncultured phototrophic eukaryote. RNAcentral describes it as "partial 16S ribosomal RNA". It matches the Rfam family "Bacterial small subunit ribosomal RNA", at positions 357 to 525 of the family's 1533-position model. The record is from RNAcentral.